AAGGGCUGGGGAAGAGCUGCUGGGUGGUGGGGCCAGCAGGCCCUGCCCUGUACCAGGCAGCCCCCUCCCCUCUGCCCCAGAGCAAGGCCCUGGCGUGCUCCCUGUGGGGCUCCCCCUGUGCAGUAACAGGUGUGAGCAUCCAUGCAGCCUUCUGAUGGUCAUGUAUGAUACUGCACACACCC
Calypte anna (Anna's hummingbird) is the source of this 182-nucleotide non-coding RNA. The record is from Rfam. Lineage: Eukaryota; Metazoa; Chordata; Aves; Apodiformes; Trochilidae.